RNAcentral lists this unclassified non-coding RNA (298 nucleotides) under plant metagenome. RNAcentral's name for it is "partial contains 5.8S ribosomal RNA, internal transcribed spacer 2, and large subunit ribosomal RNA". The stretch from base 1 to 105 matches the Rfam family "5.8S ribosomal RNA", at positions 50 to 154 of the family's 154-position model. The record is from RNAcentral.
GAAAUGUGAUAAGUAAUGUGAAUUGCAGAAUUCAGUGAAUCAUCGAAUCUUUGAACGCACAUUGCGCCCCCUGGUAUUCCGGGGGGCAUGCCUGUUCGAGCGUCAUUUCACCACUCAAGCCUCGCUUGGUAUUGGGCAACGCGGUCCGCCGCGUGCCUCAAAUCGACCGGCUGGGUCUUCUGUCCCCUAAGCGUUGUGGAAACUAUUCGCUAAAGGGUGCUCGGGAGGCUACGCCGUAAAACAACCCCAUUUCUAAGGUUGACCUCGGAUCAGGUAGGGAUACCCGCUGAACUUAAGC